ACUGCUCGUAAUAAUCACACAUCUCUUCGUGGUGAGCAGCAGGCAACGAUCUUAUGAUUGGCUGAGAUGUGAAA
RNAcentral lists this ribozyme (74 nucleotides) under unclassified sequences. RNAcentral describes it as "HDV ribozyme from F. prausnitzii". It matches the Rfam family "HDV ribozyme from F. prausnitzii". The record is from RNAcentral. RNAcentral also lists the same sequence under 1 other name.